Molecule: ribosomal RNA, 450 nt
Filed under: uncultured bacterium
Lineage: Bacteria
Description: partial 16S ribosomal RNA
Rfam family: Bacterial small subunit ribosomal RNA
Source: RNAcentral
GUGGGGAAUCUUCCGCAAUGGACGAAAGUCUGACGGAGCAACGCCGCGUGAGUGAAGAAGGUUUUCGGAUCGUAAAGCUCUUUCGUUAGGGACGAACGUGCUCUUUGUGAAUAAUGAGGAGUAAUGACGGUACCUAAAUAAGAAGCCACGGCUAACUACGUGCCAGCAGCCGCGGUAAUACGUAGGUGGCAAGCGUUGUCCGGAAUUAUUGGGCGUAAAGCGCGCGCAGGCGGGAUAUCAAGUCUGUCUUAAAAGUGCGAGGCUCAACCUCGUGAGGGGACAGAAACUGGUAUUCUUGAGUGUCGGAGAGGAAAGUGGAAUUCCAAGUGUAGCGGUGAAAUGCGUAGAGAUUUGGAAGAACACCAGUGGCGAAGGCGACUUUCUGGACGAUGUCUGACGCUGAGGCGCGAAAGCUAGGGGAGCGAACGGGAUUAGAAGCCCGUGUAGUCC